This 896-nucleotide ribosomal RNA is filed under the name Pseudomonas sp. 33(2015). Its description in RNAcentral is "bacterial SSU rRNA". It matches the Rfam family "Bacterial small subunit ribosomal RNA", at positions 54 to 943 of the family's 1533-position model. Lineage: Bacteria; Pseudomonadati; Pseudomonadota; Gammaproteobacteria; Pseudomonadales; Pseudomonadaceae. The record is from RNAcentral.
CAUGCAGUCGAGCGGAUGAAAGGAGCUUGCUCCUGGAUUCAGCGGCGGACGGGUGAGUAAUGCCUAGGAAUCUGCCUGGUAGUGGGGGACAACGUUUCGAAAGGAACGCUAAUACCGCAUACGUCCUACGGGAGAAAGCAGGGGACCUUCGGGCCUUGCGCUAUCAGAUGAGCCUAGGUCGGAUUAGCUAGUUGGUGAGGUAAUGGCUCACCAAGGCGACGAUCCGUAACUGGUCUGAGAGGAUGAUCAGUCACACUGGAACUGAGACACGGUCCAGACUCCUACGGGAGGCAGCAGUGGGGAAUAUUGGACAAUGGGCGAAAGCCUGAUCCAGCCAUGCCGCGUGUGUGAAGAAGGUCUUCGGAUUGUAAAGCACUUUAAGUUGGGAGGAAGGGUUGUAGAUUAAUACUCUGCUGUUUUGACGUUACCGACAGAAUAAGCACCGGCUAACUCUGUGCCAGCAGCCGCGGUAAUACAGAGGGUGCAAGCGUUAAUCGGAAUUACUGGGCGUAAAGCGCGCGUAGGUGGUUUGUUAAGUUGGAUGUGAAAUCCCCGGGCUCAACCUGGGAACUGCAUUCAAAACUGACAAGCUAGAGUAUGGUAGAGGGUGGGUGGAAUUUCCUGUGUAGCGGUGAAAUGCGUAGAUAUAGGAAGGAACACCAGUGGCGAAGGCGACCACCUGGACUGAUACUGACACUGAGGUGCGAAAGCGUGGGGAGCAAACAGGAUUAGAUACCCUGGUAGUCCACGCCGUAAACGAUGUCAACUAGCCGUUGGGAGCCUUGAGCUCUUAGUGGCGCAGCUAACGCAUUAAGUUGACCGCCUGGGGAGUACGGCCGCAAGGUUAAAACUCAAAUGAAUUUGAGGGGGGCCCGCACAAACGGUUGGACCAUGUG